This 494-nucleotide ribosomal RNA is filed under the name uncultured bacterium. RNAcentral's name for it is "partial 16S ribosomal RNA". It matches the Rfam family "Bacterial small subunit ribosomal RNA", at positions 30 to 523 of the family's 1533-position model. The record is from RNAcentral.
AUUGAACGCUGGCGGCAGGCCUAACACAUGCAAGUCAAGCGGAAGGGGCUUCGGCCCUGAGAGCGGCGGACGGGUGAGGAGAGCGUGGGAAUCUGCCUGGAGAUGGGGGAUAGCCCGGAGAAAUCCGGCUUAAUACCGCAUAAUACCUGAGGGUUAAAGUGGAGGAGCGCAAGACUUCACGUCUACAGAUGAGCCCAAGUCAGAUUAGCUAGUUGGUAGGGUAAAGGCCUACCAAGGCGACGAUCUGUAGCUGGCCUGAGAGGGUGGCCAGCCACACUGGAACUGAGACACGGUCCAGACUCCUACGGGAGGCAGCAGUGGGGAAUAUUGGACAAUGGGCGCAAGCCUGAUCCAGCCAUGCCGCGUGUGUGAAGAAGGCCUUCGGGUUGUAAAGCACUUUAAGUUGGGAGGAAGGUUCCUUGGCUAAUAUCCAAGGGAAUUGACGUUACCGACAGAAUAAGCACCGGCUAAUUCCGUGCCAGCCGCCGCCGUAA